AGAAAAUGAAGAAGAGGAGGAGAAGGGAGGAAAUUAACUUAAGAAUCACAUGUGCUGACCAUUUCUCCCCUCCUCAAGGAGCAGUGGUAGAUGUCACUCAGCUGCUGCCUUGUCGUGUUGCCUGUGGAGUGGCAGCGGAGAGAAAAUGCAUUCUGGACGCAGAGUGUCAACAGAAAGGAAGUUUUUAAAAAUCUCUUAUGAACAUGGGGCAUGUGUCGUCCGGUUCUCUAUGAUAGAUUCGCAUUAGCUAUACUCUCUCUGCCUGCCACAAAUAUUUAGAUAGUUGCUAAAAAGAAGAAGAUGAAGAUGAAGGAGGAGGAUGAAAAGGAGAAUGAAAAGGAAGAAUGAGCAUAGCAGUAAAGAGGUUUGAUUUUCUCUCCCAUCCCCACACUUCUGCCACAGCCUGAUCACGUCAGCCCUUCUUUCUUUAAACAGAGUAAGAUUGGUCCAUAGAACCUGGAUUAUGGGUGUGUAUAAGGGUGUGUAUAAACAUAUGGUAGGUUAGUCAUACCUAUUCAUCUUAUUCCCAGUGCUUUAAGUGGAAAUAUAUAAUAUUAAAAGUAACUUCAUAUGAAUAUAUUUGCAUGUUUAUGAUAUACUUUAAAAAUUGCCAAUAAGUGUGUCUGCUCCAUAUAUAAAUCUGUCUCAAGUAAAAGACCCUUAGGCCAUAUUUACUUAUAAGAAAAAACAAUUUAGAAAAAUAUUUGAAAACUUAAAUUCAUUAAGACUAACUUAUGCUAAGCAAAUAAAUAAUCUCUUCCUUACAGGAGAAAUUAAUCAACUAUUUACUAAAUCAUCAAUACAAAAGUCUUGAAAUCAAAGCUACCUCAUAAAUAAAUUAUUUUAAAAACAAUGCAUCUUUGUUUACCGUAUAUAGUUGAAACUAUAAUAUAAGGUUUUUAAUGAAUAACUCUUCUUAAAUUUUUGCUUAAUUUAAAAAAUAACAUAUUUAUGUGUCUGACCAGCUAUUAGAAGUAAUGUUUUGAUUAUUUACCUAAUGAUACAAUUAUUUAAUUGAUGGUAGUUAUCUUAAUGCGGAGACUAGCUUCAGCAAAUGCAUUUACUUAACCAAUAAUAUCACAUUUGUGCUUUUGUUUCUCAAGUAAGUGGUAUUUGAAUGUCCUUUUAAUAGAUAAAUAGCUCUUUAUGUGGAAAUGAAAACAGUAGAUUGAAAAUGAAUGUACCUUUAAUAAUUCUGAUUACUGAUAAAAAUAAAAUACAACAUAUGUGACCUGGGAAAUAAACAUUAGUUAAAAAUGUUCUAGUGAUGUGUCUUCAUCAAUAAAAUAUGCCACCCCCUCCAAAAAAAAAACCAAGGAUACUAAAAAUGGACAUCAAAAAUUUUAUUCAUGUUCCUAGUUGCUAGAUAAAUAUUUUGAUACUCCCAUUUAUAACUGGUAUGAAUUUUUACAUACUGUGUAUAUAGACAAAAAUAAAAAUAUAGUUGGUAUGUUUCAGCUGA
Long non-coding RNA from Suricata suricatta (meerkat), 1462 nucleotides. RefSeq lists it as uncharacterized. The record is from RefSeq and is a predicted model, not a curated record. Lineage: Eukaryota; Metazoa; Chordata; Mammalia; Carnivora; Herpestidae. The transcript is spliced from 2 exons.